RNAcentral lists this long non-coding RNA (969 nucleotides) under Olea europaea subsp. europaea. Lineage: Eukaryota; Viridiplantae; Streptophyta; Magnoliopsida; Lamiales; Oleaceae. The record is from RNAcentral.
CCCUUACAAAGAUGCCUUGAGUAUUUUCCUGCCAUUUGAAAUAUUAAUUUACCAAUGAGAACACGAUAUAUUUUAUUUUCAACCUCGUAAUCCUAAUUAAGGUCACUAACAACAUAUACUCCUUUAUAUAAAUUAUUUUAACACCAAAACUCCAAAUAUUUAACAUUUAAUUUGGUUUCAAUACUAGAAAUCCAAGAAAAUUAGAUGAUUGACAAAACUAGCACUAUAACUCCAAAAUAUUGAAAACUAGUACCAAUGUCUAUAUAUUAAAUUCUGUCACCAAAAAUAUUGACAAAACUAGCACUUUUCGGGGCUGGAUUUCAAAAGCAGCACCUAUGUAGGAUUUGUCCAAAAAUUGCUUAUAAUUAUUGCUUAAAAAUGGAGAAAUCAACCCCAUUUCCAUAAUCUAAGUGUUUAACAUCAUAUAAUCCAAAGAAAAUCAAAGAAUAAACAUCUAUUUCAUAAACCCAUUUUCAAAGUUUCCCUCCUUUUCUUUUCUUUCUUUUAUUUUUUCAACACCAAUCUUUCAAUACAUAUUACUUUAACAUAUUCAUGUUUACUACCCCCAAACAAAUGUCAAUAACCUCUAAUUCUAGCUAACUUUGAAUAUAACCAAAAUUUCCAUAAACCCUAAAAGCAAACUUAACUCAAUAUACUUACACUUACCUCUCAAAAUCAAAUGAGAAAUUGUAGAAAUGGAGCACCCAAGAAUUGAAAACCCACUUCUUCUUUUCCUUUUCCUUUUCUUCUUCUCUUUUUGCUUCAUAUUUUUUUUCCUUCCAUGUUCCUCGAUUCUUCUCGGUUUCUCCCAAGGAAAUGAAAGAAAAUGGGUCUUACUUCCAUUUAACAAUUGGACAAAAUGAAAUUAUCAAUAAUUAAGCCCUCAACUUUGCCAUAGUUUGCAAUUAAACCCUUAUGUUUCCAUUUAAUUUAAAACUCACCAUUUUGUUCUUAUACUCACAAAUUAGC